This 585-nucleotide ribosomal RNA is filed under the name Curtobacterium sp. Ri3Pt_4348. RNAcentral describes it as "bacterial SSU rRNA". It matches the Rfam family "Bacterial small subunit ribosomal RNA", at positions 422 to 1004 of the family's 1533-position model. The record is from RNAcentral. Lineage: Bacteria; Bacillati; Actinomycetota; Actinomycetes; Micrococcales; Microbacteriaceae.
GUUGUAAACCUCUUUUAGUAGGGAAGAAGGGAGCUUUCGGUUCUUGACGGUACCUGCAGAAAAAGCACCGGCUAACUACGUGCCAGCAGCCGCGGUAAUACGUAGGGUGCAAGCGUUGUCCGGAAUUAUUGGGCGUAAAGAGCUCGUAGGCGGUUUGUCGCGUCUGCUGUGAAAUCCCGAGGCUCAACCUCGGGCUUGCAGUGGGUACGGGCAGACUAGAGUGCGGUAGGGGAGAUUGGAAUUCCUGGUGUAGCGGUGGAAUGCGCAGAUAUCAGGAGGAACACCGAUGGCGAAGGCAGAUCUCUGGGCCGUAACUGACGCUGAGGAGCGAAAGCAUGGGGAGCGAACAGGAUUAAAUACCCUGGUAGUCCAUGCCGUAAACGUUGGGCGCUAGAUGUAGGGACCUUUCCACGGUUUCUGUGUCGUAGCUAACGCAUUAAGCGCCCCGCCUGGGGAGUACGGCCGCAAGGCUAAAACUCAAAGGAAAUGACGGGGGGCCCGCACAAGCGGCGGAGCAACGCGGAUUAAAUUCGAUGCAACGCGAAGAACCUUACCAAGGCUUGACAUACACCGGAAACGGCCAGA